This 819-nucleotide ribosomal RNA is filed under the name uncultured Mollicutes bacterium. Its description in RNAcentral is "bacterial SSU rRNA". It matches the Rfam family "Bacterial small subunit ribosomal RNA", at positions 8 to 824 of the family's 1533-position model. The record is from RNAcentral. Lineage: Bacteria; Bacillati; Mycoplasmatota; Mollicutes.
AGAGUUUGAUCAUGGCUCAGGAUGAACGCUGGCGGCAUGCCUAAUACAUGCAAGUCGAACGAAGUGCUUUAUGCACUUAGUGGCGAAUGGGUGAGUAACACGUAUUUAAUCUGCCUAAUAGUGAGGGACAACAGUUAGAAAUGACUGCUAAUACCGCAUAGUAUAUUUUAUGGCAUCAUAAAAUAUUUAAAGGCGCUUCGGCGUCGCUAUUAGAUGAGGAUGCGGCGUAUUAGCUUGUUGGUAAGGUAAUGGCUUACCAAGGCAAUUAUACGUAGCCGGCCUGAGAGGGUGAACGGCCACAUCGGGACUGAGACACGGCCCGGACUCCUACGGGAGGCAGCAGUAAGGAAUUUUUCACAAUGGACGAAAGUCUGAUGGAGCAAUGCCGCGUGAUUGAUGACAGCCUUAGGGUUGUAAAAAUCUGUUAUAGAGAAAGAAUUGUCAGUAUAGGAAAUGAUAUUGGCUUGACGGUACUUUAUCAGAAAGACACGGCAAACUAUGUGCUAGCAGCCGCGGUAAUACAUAGGUGUCAAGCGUUAUCCGGAUUUAUUGGGCGUAAAGAGUGCGCAGACGGUAUGAUAAGUUUGAGGUUAAAGGCUAGGGCUUAACCCUAGUUCGCCUUGAAAACUGUCUUACUAGAGUGUGGUAGAAGUUGAUGGAAUUUCAUGUGUAGCGGUGGAAUGCGUAGAUAUAUGAAGGAACACCAGUGGCGAAGGCGAUCAACUAUGCUAUUACUGACGUUCAUGCACGAAAGCGUGGGGAGCAAAUAGGAUUAGAUACCCUAGUAGUCCACGCUGUAAACGAUGAGUACUAAGUGUC